RNAcentral lists this ribosomal RNA (253 nucleotides) under uncultured bacterium. RNAcentral's name for it is "partial 16S ribosomal RNA". It matches the Rfam family "Bacterial small subunit ribosomal RNA", at positions 524 to 776 of the family's 1533-position model. The record is from RNAcentral.
GACGAAGGGGGCAAGCGUUGUUCGGAAUUACUGGGCGUAAAGCGUGCGCAGGCGGUUUUGUAAGCCAGAUGUGAAAUCCCCGGGCUUAACCUGGGAAUGGCAUUUGGGACUGCAAGGCUGGAGUGUGGCAGAGGAGACUGGAAUUCCUGGUGUAGCAGUGAAAUGCGUAGAUAUCAGGAGGAAUACCGAUGGCGAAGGCAGGUCUCUGGGCUGACACUGACGCUCAUGCACGAAAGCGUGGGGAGCAAACAGG